This 794-nucleotide ribosomal RNA is filed under the name Bacillus subtilis. Its description in RNAcentral is "bacterial SSU rRNA". It matches the Rfam family "Bacterial small subunit ribosomal RNA", at positions 555 to 1349 of the family's 1533-position model. The record is from RNAcentral. Lineage: Bacteria; Bacillati; Bacillota; Bacilli; Caryophanales; Bacillaceae.
UGGGCGUAGAGGGCUCGCAGGCGGUUUCUUAAGUCUGAUGUGAAAGCCCCCGGCUCAACCGGGGAGGGUCAUUGGAAACUGGGGAACUUGAGUGCAGAAGAGGAGAGUGGAAUUCCACGUGUAGCGGUGAAAUGCGUAGAGAUGUGGAGGAACACCAGUGGCGAAGGCGACUCUCUGGUCUGUAACUGACGCUGAGGAGCGAAAGCGUGGGGAGCGAACAGGAUUAGAUACCCUGGUAGUCCACGCCGUAAACGAUGAGUGCUAAGUGUUAGGGGGUUUCCGCCCCUUAGUGCUGCAGCUAACGCAUUAAGCACUCCGCCUGGGGAGUACGGUCGCAAGACUGAAACUCAAAGGAAUUGACGGGGGCCCGCACAAGCGGUGGAGCAUGUGGUUUAAUUCGAAGCAACGCGAAGAACCUUACCAGGUCUUGACAUCCUCUGACAAUCCUAGAGAUAGGACGUCCCCUUCGGGGGCAGAGUGACAGGUGGUGCAUGGUUGUCGUCAGCUCGUGUCGUGAGAUGUUGGGUUAAGUCCCGCAACGAGCGCAACCCUUGAUCUUAGUUGCCAGCAUUCAGUUGGGCACUCUAAGGUGACUGCCGGUGACAAACCGGAGGAAGGUGGGGAUGACGUCAAAUCAUCAUGCCCCUUAUGACCUGGGCUACACACGUGCUACAAUGGACAGAACAAAGGGCAGCGAAACCGCGAGGUUAAGCCAAUCCCACAAAUCUGUUCUCAGUUCGGAUCGCAGUCUGCAACUCGACUGCGUGAAGCUGGAAUCGCUAGUAAUCGCGGAU